Molecule: ribosomal RNA, 200 nt
Filed under: uncultured bacterium
Lineage: Bacteria
Description: partial 16S ribosomal RNA
Rfam family: Bacterial small subunit ribosomal RNA
Source: RNAcentral
ACGCUCGACACCUACGGGGGGCAGCAGUGGGGAAUAUUGGGCAAUGGGCGCAAGCCUGACCCAGCAAUGCCGCGUGAAGGAAGAAGGCUUUCGGGUUGUAAACUUCUUUUGUCAGGGAAGAGUAGAAGACGGUACCUGACGAAUAAGCCACGGCUAACUACGUGGCAGCAGCCGCGGUAAUCUGAGCGGGCUGGCAAGGC